This 116-nucleotide ribosomal RNA is filed under the name Alphaproteobacteria bacterium. The record is from RNAcentral. RNAcentral also lists the same sequence under 1 other name. Lineage: Bacteria; Pseudomonadati; Pseudomonadota; Alphaproteobacteria.
UCUGGUGAUUAUAGCGAAAGUGGUACCACACGUUCCCAUCCCGAACACGACCGUGAAACCUUUCAGCGCUGAUGGUACUUCGUCUUAAGACGUGGGAGAGUAAGUCGUCGCCAGAC